GGUGAAUUAUGGGAGUUGUAGUGAGGGCUGAUAAUAGUGGGUGCAGGUGAAUUAUGGGAGUUGUAGUGAGGGUCUGAUAAUAGUGGGUGCAGGUGAAUUAUGGGAGUUGUAGUGAGGGCUGAUAAUAGUGGGUGCAGGUGAAUUAUGGGAGUUGUAGUGAGGGCUGAUAAUAGUGGGUGCAGGUGAA
Astyanax mexicanus (Mexican tetra) is the source of this 187-nucleotide long non-coding RNA. RefSeq lists it as uncharacterized. The transcript has 3 exons. NCBI's taxonomy places the organism in Eukaryota, Metazoa, Chordata, Actinopteri, Characiformes, Acestrorhamphidae. The record is from RefSeq and is a predicted model, not a curated record.